UGCCCUGGCUCCAGGGCUGGAUGUGCCCCGGCUCCAGGGAUGGAUGUGCCCCAUCUCCGGGGGCUGGAUGUGCCCCGGCUCCGGGGGAUGGAUGUGCCCCAGCUCUAGGGGCUAGACGGGCUCCAGGGCUGGAUGUGCCCAUCUCCGGGGGCUGGAUGUGCCUCAGCUCCGGGGGAUGGAUGUGUCCCGGCUCCGAGGGAUGAACGUGCCCCAGCUCCGGGGGAUGGAUGUGCCCCUGUGCCCCGGCUCUGGGGGAUGAACGUGCCCCGGCUCUGGGGGCUGGAUGUGCCCCAUCUCCGGGGGCUGGAUGUGCCCCGGCUCCGGGGUUGGAUGUACCCCGGGAUGUGCCCCGGCUCUGGGGGCUGGAUGUGUCCCGGCUCCGGGGGUUGGAUGUGCCCCGGCUCCAGGGCUGGAUGUGCCCCGGGAUGUGCCCCGGCUCCGGGGGCUGGAUGUGCCCCGGCUCCAGGGCUGGAUGUGCCCCGGUUCCAGGGCUGGAUGUGCCCCGGCUCUGGGGGCUGGACGGGCUCCGGGGGGAUGGAUGUGCCCCGGCUCCGGGGGCUGGAUGUGCCCCGGCUCCAGGGCUGGAUGUGCCCAUCUCCGGGGGCGGGAUGUGCCCCGGCUCCAGGGGAUGAACGUGCCCCGGCUCCGGGGGAUGAACGUGCCCCACCUCCAGGGCUGGAUGUGCCCCGGCUCCGAGGGUUGGAUGUGCUCCGGGGGCUGAACGUGCCCCAGCCCGCGGGGGGAGCAGCCGGGGCUGUGCCUGCGCCGCUGCAGCGGGCUCGGAUCCCCCGGGGCUUUCUCCAGCGCUCCCUCAGCCCGCACGGAGCCCAGCCCGCUCCCAGCCCGCUCCCAGCCCGCUCCCAGCCCGCUCCCAGCCCGCUCCCAGCGCAUCCCCGCAGCCCCGGCCGCAGCCCCGGCCCGCCCCGAGCCCAUGGCACCUGCACCCCAUGGAGCAGACCCCGAGGUGCCGCGAAUGGAUCCCAGAAUUCUCAUUUUCCUUCUCUACGUGAUGAUCCUGCACGAGCUGGUGAGCGGCUGGAUGCAGUACCAGAAGCAGAUGGCCAAGCCCAAGAAGCAGGCGGGGCCGGUGUGGUCCUCCAGCAGCACCCCCAGGGCAGCCCCCUCCGCCUUCUGCCGGCCGCUGGUGCACUCGGUGCGCAGGGAGCGGCACCGGGACUGGAGGAAGCCGGGCAGGAUCAUCCGCAAAGCCUGAGCAGGAGCUGCUGGGGGCGUGGGGAGGCUGCUGAGGCAGAGACAGCCCCCUCGGCUCUGCAGCACCCCCUCACCGAGAGCAUCCUCCAGGGAUCUGCGUCCUGCAUCCUCCCGGGCAUCCAUCCCUGCCUGCGGAGCAGCCACACGGAGCAGGGACAGCCCGAGCUGGGAUGAGGAUUUACCACCCAACACCAUGAAGUGACUUUUCUUUCUUCUUCCUGAUAUAAAUGAAAAUUUGUCCAGCCAAAUUAAUAUGAAAAAAUAAAAUAUUUAUUUGCAAUCAAAUUGUACCUAGCCAGCCACAAGGAAAGAACAGAGCCGAGCCCGGGGUCGGCCCUGGGUGUGCAACAAGGAGUCAGCCUCAGCAGAGGUUUUCCUCCAUGCCCACACACCUACAGCCUGGCACAAGUGUUUUUAUAGGGAAAAUUCCACCUGAGGCCAAGAUUUCAGCAAUCAGUCUUUUCUUCUAUUCAGAGUCUACAUGUUAAUAAGAUUUUCCUUUUUGGUGAUGAGGGAGAACAAUUCAGUGUCCGGAGUUUGUUGAAUCCUUUGAUGAAAUUUACGGGAACUCUGCAUUCCCAUGGAUCUGCCCGAGGAUUUCCAUGAUUUCCAUCCCGGGUUGAUCACACGAUGAUCAGCACCUGGGGUUUCUGUAUCUCCCCAGCCAUGGCCCAUCUCCUGGCGAGCCGUACCUUCUUACUUGUAAAUCAGUUUCCAAUCUACACCCGGUCUCUCCUGCGAGGGUGGGGGGGGAAUCCUAAUACAAACAUGUAUACUCCAACAAAUAUUCAAUAUCACACAUAUAUUAGAAAUGGCACAAAUUAUAUCUACUACACAUAACAUUCCCCGAGGGCUGAAUGGAUGGAGAGCAGAUUUCCCAGGGGAAAAUGGAAUUUGCAGGGAGUGCAGGAGUCUACCUGGGAAGACUCCCAAUGGUUUCAGGCUCCUCUUCUCCCACUCCAGGACUGCGUGGCAGGAGCAUUUCCCAAAGUGGCUGGAAAAGCUUCAGUGUCCAGUUUGCCACCACUCCCAGGAGGAGCUGCCUCCCCUGGGACACCCAGAAGUCACAGCACUUUGGGAGUGCUGGCUCCCUGCUAAGUCUCAUGCACAAUUAUUUUCUGCUUUUCCCCACCUUUGUUAAAUGAAUUGCUCCAGGGAAGAGGAGGGAAAACGUCCUGAACCGGUGACUCAGAGUUAUGUCACCAAAUGCAAUUUACUGCAAUGCCCUUGUAAUUAGCAUUUUUGGAGCCUUCCCAGCAGCUGAGGCAAAUAAAUGUUAAGAGCCACUUUCUAAUGAGCAGAUAGGUGGGGAAGGAACACAGUCAUGCUCUUUAAACUCUGCUGUUUAGGCAUAAAAUCAGAUUUUUGAGGCACAAGUCAGCUGUGCACCCUGCAGCCCAGAGAGCUGGAAUCGUGGAGCAUGGAAGGAUUCUGACACUGGGCUCCAACAGCAGCUGCCCAUGGCAAAACUGCUCCUUAUUUGCUGAACAUAAUGUUUGGCCCAAACACAGCCUGUUUUCCUCGUUGCCAACCAUUUGUGAGCCUGACUCAGGCUCAGACACAUUAUCCAGAAGCAGAUAGGAAGGGGAGUCGGAAUAGAUUAUGCAUUCAUUAUCCAGAAGUAGCCAUCAGAUACAUUUGCACAUUUGUCUGCUGCUCAGUUGUUUGCAAAUCGUUCCUGGUGGUUGAUGCUGUGUUUGUUCAGUCACCCAGGGCUGGAAGUUCCCAAUCCUCUCUCCCAGGCAGGCUGGAUCAGUGACUUGGAUGUAAAUCUCUACUUUCACCUACAGGAGAUGAAGUUUCUACCUUGAAGUUCAUGCCUUGUGUUGAGAUGGUUUUGAAAAAGGAGGCAGAAACAGCUGUGACAGUUUCUGCACAUUUCAGAGCAUAAAUUCUGUAAAAUUAUGAAAUUGCAUUUAAAAAAGAUUGUGAAAUUCAGCAUAAAACCUGAAAUUGUGCCUCAGCUCUGGGACACUGGGGCUGUUCCCUUGUCCUGAUCCAUGCAGGUACAAGUGGGAGCAGCAGAUGGAGAUGUCAGGAGGGACAAAACUCAGGAGGUGUUCCUGUGUGCUGGGGGAGUUUGCUGUCCAGGAGCUGAGUGUGUCUGGGGGAUGUUCUCCCCACUCUUCUGCCAGAGCCUGGGUGAGUUUGGGAGCUCUGGCUGUGGAAAAAGGGUUUGAAUUAAUUCCUGCAGUGGGGCAGGGUAGGGCUGGCCCCAGGACCACGCUGGGCUCCCGGCCCCAGCAGGACAGACAGCCUGGGCAGGGACAGAGAGAUGCACCUUUAAGGAAGGUGAAGGGCCAGGGCUGCCUUGCCCUGAUGAUCACAUGCUGGUUUUAUCCCUGUAAAUGUAAUAUUGUUUACUCCAAAUAAACUCUUUUACACACAUAGGACUCAGUCUGUCUCUGUUCUCAUUCAGCCCUUCUGUCUCUGC
Molecule: long non-coding RNA, 3646 nt
Organism: Taeniopygia guttata (zebra finch)
Lineage: Eukaryota; Metazoa; Chordata; Aves; Passeriformes; Estrildidae
Source: Ensembl